UGUGUGUGUGUGUGUGUGUUAUGUCUCUCGCUCGCUCUUUCCAUAGCUCGCGGUCGAUGAUCAAGACGGUCGGGUGUGUGUGCACGUGCGUGUAAUAAUGCGCAGCAGCACAGAUGCUGUUGACCUUGCGUUAAAAGCGCUGUCGAAUCCGUGUACAGCGAUCUCCCAGUCCUGUCGCGUUUUUCGCCAACGCUAUUACUCCGUGUUAAAGAUAUAAGCGGCUAUUAAGGGGGGAGACUCGAGUAAAAUUAAAAAAAAAAAAGAAGAAGAAGAAAAAACGAUAUUUUUUAAAAACGUAGCUGUAGAAGUUCCAGUUUGAAAUUUGAUGUUAAUAAUGGUUUUACAGUUAUAUAUUAGGUUAGCUAAAAAGUUUGUUAGGUUUGUGGUGAUGGUUGUUUGUCCGCAGUUCUGAUGGUUGCUAACUCGACGAGCUCUUCUACAAACGCGGAAUCAUGAAUUUGCCCAAAAGAUAGGAAACGAUCUUACGAUUUUCAUAUAAAAAGCCACGAUUUCGAUUUGCACGGCAUUCCAAGGAAUCAAUCUUCUGUACUUUAACCAGCAUUUCAAUAUACGAAACCGAAUACUUUAAAAUAGUAUUUUCUAUAAAGUUAUUUCAAGAGCGCGGGGCGUCCAAGCUCAAAACGUCUUGUUGUCGUUCGAAAAAACGCUCGAAAAUUUAAACGCGCCGCGAUGUAAAUUUACGAUUUCAAGAAGAUUCUAUUCGAUCCCGUACAAUGACGGUGAACCUGGUCGAUUGAAAAACCGUGAGAUUUUUGCGAUGGCUGCCACUUUGCCCUCUUGCCGAUGGAAUAAGUGUGUCACGGCCAGCCGGUAGUAGGAACGACGCUCGUUCAGUCGAGCCAGGAAAGCUUCUGUGCCGAUAUACACGACCGAAAGGUAGAGGAGGUUAUUACGAGCAUCGCCUCUCUCCGUCUCCUUCCUUUUCUCUCGCACUGGUUCUCCAACUCGCUCCCUCGAUGUGCCAGACUCAUUUAACCUUUACGAGCACGGAGUACGACACGAUAGAGAAAGAAGAGAGGAUCGCACGAGAGCCUAGCACCAAAGGAUCGGUUGUCGCCGAGAGCUGACCCUCCCCAAUACCUUUGAGCAUUUUUUUAUAUUUCGUAAAUUCGAAAUAUCUCUACACCCACUCAGAGUUUGUUGAACGUGCAUGCACGAAUAUCCUGCGGAGUAAACAAACAGUCUGCUCCGAAAAAUUUUUUUCGUAUGAAUUUUCUUAGUUCACAUAGAAGAAAAAUGUAUGAAAAUGAAAAUUUCUUUUGGUUUAUUUGUGUCAAACCAAAAUUACGACCUGCAUCUUUCUCGCCGAUAGGAGAUUUUAAUUGUGAGGUGCUCUACAAAUGUGCGUCGCAGUCGACUCAAUUUGAAUAUUUCUUGUUGAAAAAAUUUGUACAGACUACUCAAAUAUGUAUGAAAAUAGGAUAAAAAGUUCGAUAGAAUUAAUUAUUCUUUUCCAUCCUAAAAAAAUUCACGAAAAACCGCUUUUUUAGACCUCCUAAUUCAGGAUACCCCCUUACAGUGCUAUGCAUGGAAAUUGAGUAUUAGGUCUCAAACGAACAAGUAUUUUCUUUAACACCUCAUC
Molecule: long non-coding RNA, 1603 nt
Organism: Hylaeus volcanicus
Lineage: Eukaryota; Metazoa; Arthropoda; Insecta; Hymenoptera; Colletidae
Exons: 3
Source: RefSeq, a predicted model, not a curated record